CGAAGGGGGCUAGCGUUGUUCGGAAUUACUGGGCGUAAAGCGCGUGUAGGCGGUUGCCCGAGUCGGGUGUGAAAGCCUUGAGCUCAACUCAAGAAAUGCACUCGAUACUGGGGCGACUAGAGGACCGGAGAGGAUAGUGGAAUUCCCAGUGUAGUGGUGAAAUACGUAGAGAUUGGGAAGAACACCAGUGGCGAAGGCGGCUAUCUGGACGGUUUCUGACGCUAAGACGCGAAAGCGUGGGGAGCAAACAGGAUUAGAUACCCUGGUAGUCCACGCCGUAAACGAUGGGUGCUAGACGUUGGCGAGCUUGCUCGUCAGUGUCGCAGCUAACGCGUUAAGCACCCCGCCUGGGGAGUACGGCCGCAAGGUUG
RNAcentral lists this ribosomal RNA (371 nucleotides) under uncultured organism. RNAcentral describes it as "bacterial SSU rRNA". It matches the Rfam family "Bacterial small subunit ribosomal RNA", at positions 526 to 896 of the family's 1533-position model. The record is from RNAcentral.